GGUCACGAAGCCGAACGCGCCCCUGGACGAUCAUCGGCUGGCAACCUCGCAAACCGCGCAAGGUGCCCUCCAGGGAAGACCGGGCCUCCACAGCCCAAUGGAGGUAAGCGCGGAUC
Molecule: regulatory RNA element, 116 nt
Organism: Streptosporangium subroseum
Lineage: Bacteria; Bacillati; Actinomycetota; Actinomycetes; Streptosporangiales; Streptosporangiaceae
Rfam family: SAM (S-adenosyl methionine) riboswitch aptamer
About the family: SAM-IV is a mRNA element that regulates gene expression via direct sensing of S-adenosylmethionine (SAM or AdoMet). SAM-IV riboswitches share conserved nucleotide positions with the previously described SAM-I riboswitches sequence analysis and molecular recognition experiments suggest that SAM-I and SAM-IV riboswitches share similar ligand binding sites, but have different scaffolds.
Source: Rfam